UUUUACAGAUUUCUUCGGAAUGAAGUUUUAGUGACUGAGUGGCGGACGGGUGAGUAACGCGUGGGUAACCUGCCUCACACUGGGGGAUAACAGUCAGAAAUGACUGCUAAUACCGCAUAAGCGCACAGUACCGCAUGGUACGGUGUGAAAAACUCCGGUGGUGUGAGAUGGACCCGCGUCUGAUUAGCUAGUUGGUAAGGUAACGGCUUACCAAGGCGACGAUCAGUAGCCGACCUGAGAGGGUGACCGGCCACAUUGGGACUGAGACACGGUCCAAACUCC
Molecule: ribosomal RNA, 282 nt
Filed under: uncultured Lachnospiraceae bacterium
Lineage: Bacteria; Bacillati; Bacillota; Clostridia; Lachnospirales; Lachnospiraceae
Description: partial 16S ribosomal RNA
Rfam family: Bacterial small subunit ribosomal RNA (bases 44-282)
Source: RNAcentral